This 467-nucleotide ribosomal RNA is filed under the name uncultured bacterium. RNAcentral's name for it is "bacterial SSU rRNA". It matches the Rfam family "Bacterial small subunit ribosomal RNA", at positions 33 to 507 of the family's 1533-position model. The record is from RNAcentral.
GGACGACGCUGGCGGCGUGCUUAACACAUGCAAGUCGAACGGAAAGGCCCAGCUUGCUGGGUACUCGAGUGGCGAACGGGUGAGUAACACGUGGGUGAUCUGCCCCAAACUUCGGGAUAAGCCUGGGAAACUGGGUCUAAUACCGGAUAUGACCUGCUCCUGCAGUGGGGGUUGGUGGAAAGCUUUUGCGGUUUGGGAUGGGCCCGCGGCCUAUCAGCUUGUUGGUGGGGUAAUGGCCUACCAAGGCGACGACGGGUAGCCGACCUGAGAGGGUGAUCGGCCACACUGGGACUGAGACACGGCCCAGACUCCUACGGGAAGCAGCAGUGGGGAAUAUUGCACAAUGGGCGCAAGCCUGAUGCAGCGACGCCGCGUGAGGGAUGACGGCCUUCGGGUUGUAAACCUCUUUCGCCAGGGACGAAGCGCAAGUGACGGCACCUGGAGAAGAAGCACCGGCCAACUACGUG